This 710-nucleotide ribosomal RNA is filed under the name Paraeuchaeta norvegica. RNAcentral describes it as "eukaryotic LSU rRNA". It matches the Rfam family "Eukaryotic large subunit ribosomal RNA", at positions 38 to 667 of the family's 3401-position model. The record is from RNAcentral. Lineage: Eukaryota; Metazoa; Arthropoda; Copepoda; Calanoida; Euchaetidae.
GCAUAUCAAUAAGCGGAGGAAAAGAAAACAACUGUGAUUCCCUUAGUAAUGGCGAAUGAAACGGGAAGAGCCCAUCGCGUAACUGCAGGUCAACUUGGCCUCGCGGAAUGUCGCGUUCGGGAGAGUCUCAUCGGGAGCCGGACGGCCAGUCAAAGUCCAACUUGACAGUCGCCAUUGCCCAUAGAGGGUGAUAGGCCCGUAAGGCGGCCGUCUGUUUCCGCUGACUUUUCCCUAGAGUCGGGUUGCUUGGGAGUGCAGCCCAAAGUGCGAGGUAAACUCCUCGUAAGGCUAAAUAUGACCCAGAGACCGAUAGCAAACAAGUACCGUGAGGGAAGAUUGAAAAGAACUUUGAAGAGAGAGUUCAAUAGUACGUGAAACUGUGUGGUGGUAAACGGAGGGGUUCUCGAAGUCUCUGUGGGGAACUCAACCUUGGUGUCGGGCGGUCAGGGUGUAUCCGAUCAGCAAUGACGGUGCUCUUUGUCUGGCUUGGCUCUCGGGUGCAUUUCCCCCGCAGUUUACGGCAGGAACCGUUUGGCUCGGACCAAAGGCCUCGGGUGAAGUUGUCGCUUAUGGUGGCAGCCCUGGGUGUCCUGGCUCUGCGCUCGACGGGUACGUGAGAGGACUCGUAUAGCGAGCAACGCUCUGUUGCGGUUCUCAUCUCUCUGCCGAGUAGGUCGGUGGCCCCUCCGACCCGUCUUGAAACACGGACC